RNAcentral lists this ribosomal RNA (460 nucleotides) under uncultured bacterium. Its description in RNAcentral is "partial 16S ribosomal RNA". It matches the Rfam family "Bacterial small subunit ribosomal RNA", at positions 338 to 795 of the family's 1533-position model. The record is from RNAcentral.
CCUACGGGGGGCAGCAGUGAGGAAUAUUGGUCAAUGGGCGCGAGCCUGAACCAGCCAAGUCGCGUGAAGGAUGACUGCCCUACGGGUUGUAAACUUCUUUUAUAAGGGAAUAAAGUGAGGCACGUGUGCCUUUUUGUAUGUACUUUAUGAAUAAGCAUCGGCUAACUCCGUGCCAGCAGCCGCGGUAAUACGGAGGAUCCGAGCGUUAUCCGGAUUUAUUGGGUUUAAAGGGAGCGUAGGUGGGUUGUUAAGUCAGUUGUGAAAGUUUGCGGCUCAACCGUAAAAUUGCCGUUGAUACUGGAAGUCUUGAGUACAGUUGAGGUAGGCGGAAUGCGUGGUGUAGCGGUGAAAUGCAUAGAUAUCACGAAGAACUCCGAUUGCGAAGGCAGCUUACUAAACUGCCACUGACAUUGAUGCUCGAAAGUGUGGGUAUCAAACAGGAUUAGAUACCCUUGUAGUC